AACGAACGCUGGCGGCAUGCCUAACACAUGCGAGUCGAACGAGACCUUCGGGUCUAGUGGCGCACGGGUGCGUAACGCGUGGGAACCUGCCCUUAGGUUCGGAAUAACUCCCCGAAAGGGGUGCUAAUACCGGAUAAUGUCUUCGGACCAAAGAUUUAUCGCCUUUGGAUGGGCCCGCGUUGGAUUAGCUUGUUGGUAGGGUAAAAGCCUACCAAGGCGACGAUCCAUAGCUGGUCUGAGAGGAUGAUCAGCCACACUGGGACUGAGACACGGCCCAGACUACUACGGGAGGCAGCAGAGGGGAAUAUUGGAAAAUGGGGGAAAGCAUGAACCAGCAAGGCCGGGUGAGUGAUGAAGGCCUUAGGGUUGUAAAGCUCUUUUACCCGGGAUGAUAAUGACAGUACCGGGAGAAUAAGCUCCGGCUAACUCCGUG
RNAcentral lists this ribosomal RNA (433 nucleotides) under uncultured bacterium. Its description in RNAcentral is "partial 16S ribosomal RNA". It matches the Rfam family "Bacterial small subunit ribosomal RNA", at positions 29 to 507 of the family's 1533-position model. The record is from RNAcentral.